GGGCACUGUCGUUUUAAGCAUUCCCAUAACCUCUUUGUCUCCUCUCUCUUUUGUGUUUUUUUUUUAACUUAAAGGAGAGCUAAAGGUUAAAACUGGCGAAUGAAGUAUAAGAAGCAUUGCUACUGACGACACAAGAAAUUGGUUGAACUAUUUUAUAUAUCUAAAUCUGUGAAGCUAGCAUAAAAUAACCGAUGAGGCAUUGUUUCAUACUAAC
Molecule: long non-coding RNA, 214 nt
Filed under: Mytilus galloprovincialis (Mediterranean mussel)
Lineage: Eukaryota; Metazoa; Mollusca; Bivalvia; Mytilida; Mytilidae
Source: RNAcentral